RNAcentral lists this ribosomal RNA (411 nucleotides) under Dictyoglomus thermophilum. RNAcentral describes it as "bacterial SSU rRNA". It matches the Rfam family "Bacterial small subunit ribosomal RNA", at positions 1 to 385 of the family's 1533-position model. The record is from RNAcentral. Lineage: Bacteria; Pseudomonadati; Dictyoglomota; Dictyoglomia; Dictyoglomales; Dictyoglomaceae.
GAUGGAGGGUUUGAUCCUGGCUCAGGACGAACGCUGGCGGCGUGCCUAAGGCAUGCAAGUCGAGCGGUAGCUCCUAUUGGUUUAUGCCGAUAGGAGUGAGAGCGGCGCACGGGUGAGUAACACGUAGGUAACCUACCCCUAGAGAGGGGGAUAACACCUCGAAAGGGGUGCUAAACCCCCAUAUACUUACCGAGCGAUAUGCUCAGGUAAGGAAAGAGUAUAGAGGGGNAACCCUCUAUGCUGCUCUGGGAUGGGCCUGCGGCCUAUCAGCUAGUUGGUGGGGUAAUGGCCCACCAAGGCUAAGACGGGUAGCCGGCCUGAGAGGGUGGUCGGCCACACUGGGACUGAGACACGGCCCAGACUCCUACGGGAGGCAGCAGCCGGGAAUCUUCCGCAAUGGGGGAAACCCUG